This 243-nucleotide ribosomal RNA is filed under the name uncultured Actinomycetales bacterium. RNAcentral's name for it is "partial 16S ribosomal RNA". It matches the Rfam family "Bacterial small subunit ribosomal RNA", at positions 88 to 334 of the family's 1533-position model. Lineage: Bacteria; Bacillati; Actinomycetota; Actinomycetes; Actinomycetales. The record is from RNAcentral.
UGCUCGAGUGGCGAACGGGUGAGUAACACGUGGGUGAUCUGCCCUGCACUUCGGGAUAAGCUUGGGAAACUGGGUCUAAUACCGGAUAGGACCAUCGUUUAGUGUCGGUGGCGGAAAGUUUUUUCGGUGUGGGAUGAGCUCGCGGCCUAUCAGCUUGUUGGUGGGGUAAUGGCCUACCAAGGCGUCGACGGGUAGCCGGCCUGAGAGGGUGUACGGCCACAUUGGGACUGAGAUACGGCCCAG